RNAcentral lists this ribosomal RNA (232 nucleotides) under uncultured bacterium. Its description in RNAcentral is "partial 16S ribosomal RNA". It matches the Rfam family "Bacterial small subunit ribosomal RNA", at positions 102 to 334 of the family's 1533-position model. The record is from RNAcentral.
ACGGGUGAGUAACGCGUAUCCAACCUGCCGUCUACUCUUGGACAGCCUUCUGAAAGGAAGAUUAAUACAAGAUGGCAUCAUGAGUCCGCAUGUCCACAUGAUUAAAGGUAUUCCGGUAGACGAUGGGGAUGCGUUCCAUUAGAUAGUAGGCGGGGUAACGGCCCACCUAGUCUUCGAUGGAUAGGGGUUCUGAGAGGAAGGUCCCCCACAUUGGAACUGAGACACGGUCCAA